Molecule: transfer RNA, 73 nt
Filed under: Cordylochernes scorpioides
Lineage: Eukaryota; Metazoa; Arthropoda; Arachnida; Pseudoscorpiones; Chernetidae
Description: tRNA-Arg
Source: RNAcentral
CAUCUCAGUCGGGACUCGAACCCGGGACCUUUGGAUUAGAAGUCCAACGAGCUAUCCACUGAGCUACUGGGAU